CAUUGGAGGAAAUGUUACAGUUCCUCUUGUUUUUCAAUCAUCAGGAACAUGGAAGAUGUUCUGCAGAGAAGAUUGUGAAGGAGAAAACAUUCUCAUUAAAACAACUGAUGUCAGAGCUCAAACAGGCAGAUACAGCAUUGAAUAUAAAAGAGAAUCAACAGUUUAUGUUUUAUCUGUGAGCAUCUCAAAGCUGACUGAGUCUGACUCUGGACAGUACAGCUGUGGUUUGGGUGGAUCUCCAUCAUCAGCUUCAUACGAACGGUUUGGAGUCUUUGUUGCUGAAGCACUGCUGGAUGGAAACGAUGAUCCUGCUCAGCUGAAACGCUUCAAUAAAGAAACUGGAAGCUCUCUCACAGUCGGAUGUUACUUUAAACAACCUGGAAACAGAAAGAUGUUCUGCAGAGGAGAAUGUGGAGGAGACAACAUUCUUGUUGAAACCCGUAAAGUCAAAGCUCAGAGAGACAGAUACAACAUUGGAUAUGUUUCAGGAGUUCUGUAUGUGAGCAUCACACAGCUGACCAAGUCUGACUCAGGACCGUACACAUGUUACCUGAGUGGUUCAUCCAGAGAGUUUGAGGUCACUGUCACAGACGCGGUCGUCUCAACAGCACAGUUUCACCUCCAUUUCCAGAAGCUUCACACCUUCACCAGCUUCCACUGGAACCACAGAGCAGUCUGGACAGAGUCAGUCUGAGAGAACAUCUACAGGUGGUGUCAGCGGGACACAAACGUCUUCUCAAACUGCUGCAGAUGUUCUCCUGUAUGUGGGCCUGACUCUGGCUGUCACCAUCAUCAUCAUUUCAGUGGCUGUGCUGAUUUCCUGCAAGAAAAGAUCUUCUAAAGUAAAGGACCCUUUUGUUGAAAUAUUACAUACUACGAUCACAGAUGAUGAAGACAACUCCAGGACUGUGAUGAAUGUUUCCGACAAGGCCUUCGGCUUUCUAAACAGCGCCCCCUAUAGUCACACCAAUGAAGUCAUCUACUCUGUACCUCGGGUACAUGAAGCCCACUAUGAGAAUUGGACUCCAACUUGUGCAAUGUAAAGGCUCAACCUACCAGAACAUGGAUCCAAUCAGCAGAGACUUGGACCAAACCUGCUCUGCACUCAUAUCACAGGAGACUCUCUGGAUUUGAUCAUUUUCCAGCCUCAGACUGAAGUUUGUUCACAGAUGCUGAAAACUGAGAAUCGAUAAACUACAUAAUCCUUUCAAAAUUACGAACACUGAAUUGCGUAAUUUCUAUCAUAAUGAAUUUGCUUCUUUAUGUAAAUUUAAUAAUGAUCAAAACCAAUCACAGCACAGAAACAGCUCUUACUAAAGACAUCAGUGACCUGAAGGUCCACAGUGACCCACAGAGAGUCUCAGUUUUAGAGCUUCUCACUGCUGCCUUCAACAUUGUUGAUGAAACGCUAAUUCAAAGACUGUGAUUCGGACGGUUUAACAUGUCAGGUCCUCGACUGACUCUCAUCAUAUCAAAAGUUUAGAAGUUUUUAUGUUUGAUCCGGUAAAUUCCAUCAGGAGUUGGAUCUGCCUGAUGCUUCUUCCUGUUAGAAUAGAGUUGUUCUUACAAUAUACCUUACUAUAAAAAACUGCUGUUAUUUGUGCCAUAUUAAUAAAAUUUAAAAGAACAAUUGAAAUAAAUGAAGG
Molecule: long non-coding RNA, 1646 nt
Organism: Oreochromis aureus
Lineage: Eukaryota; Metazoa; Chordata; Actinopteri; Cichliformes; Cichlidae
Source: Ensembl